CACUGAGAAGAGGCAACAGUCUGAGGUUUGGUGGAGCCAGGAUAGCCUUUCAGUCUGAGGCUACUACCGAAAGCUGCCCGGAGUCAGUCCAGAAGAUGAUUUAGAGCAGUGAUCAGCUGUAAGUCAUUUAGAGCCAGUGUAAAGGGCUUGCAUUUUACAUCUGCUGUGAAGACUUACAACCUGCAGGCCAAGGAUGAUGAGGACUUAUACCAUUAUUGAGCUCCUUCUAUAUAUCCAGCAUUUUUGUCGAGCACAUUAUAUGCAAUAAAUUGAUUUAAACAGGGAGGAAACCCACACAUUAUUGGAGUGGAAUCGCAUACUUGAGUCAUUAUUUAAUUUUCAUUGACUUCCAUCUUAGACCUAAAAUAAUAAAUGGCAUUGUUUCAGGCAGUGCUUAUGUCUUAAAGUGUUCAUAUGUGGCAAUUGAAGUUGAAUUGUGAAAAAUGUAUUGUGCAACAUUCCUGUAAACAGAACUCAUAGCAAAACGGGAAGAUACCCAUACACUAUAAAAAUCUCCACCUCUUGAACUACCUGAGUGUGUGGAUAUGAUGCGUUCCACUCACUGAGUAGGUUAUAAAGGCUGGGACAUUGGUCUGGGGAGAAGUCAGUGAAACGCAGUGUGUGGACUUUGUGAUGAGAUGGAAGAGCCAAACCAGACAAGUUCCUAAAUUCUCUGAGCAUCCUUGGCUAAAAAGAAGAUAACAUGUCUCUUACAAAAUUUGUUGAAGAAUAGCACGGACACAAAAAGGAAAAAUAGAUUUUAGCUCGAGAUAGGGUGUCAGUGGAAUUUACUCUAUCCCCAUUUUGGAUCUAUUUAUGAAACUCCCUCAUGUUAUGUGCGAUGUCAUUUACUGUUAUUUUUCUACUUGCUUUGACUUUCAUAACAUAUAUAUCUCUCUCUGUGUGUGUUAUAUAUCUGUAUAUACAUCCCCUGAUGUACUUUCUGGGCAGUUGUUAUUCACAGUUACUAGAGUUAGCUUGAAGAGAUAGAUACUGCUGUUUGGAGCACAGUGCAUAGUUGCAUUAACAUCAGGCUAGUCACAGAGGAGAAAACCACACGUGUAAGUUGAAGAGUAAGGAAAGUGAAGACUUAAAGGAGGAUCCAGAGCUGUCUAUGGCAAAUAGAGCUGGUGAAGGUAGUGUCAGUGGUGGUGGUGAUGAUAGAGAGUUGCUGGUGAGGAUAGAGUUAAUACUCUAGGUAAUGUAGGGAUGGUGAUGGCGGAGAGAGGGCAGUGUAGGUAAUGGGGUUGGUGAUACUGGAGGAGAUGGUAAUGAUUGUGGAGUAGACAGUAGUGGAGCUGUUGGCAAUAGUGGCAAUAGUUGAUAGAAAUUAUGGUGGUAAAAGCAUUGGUGAUAAUAAUUAGGCACAUAGAAGUGUGGGGAUGGUGGAAUUGAUGCUGAUGAUGGUGGGGAGAAUGGGUGGAGACGAUGGAUGUGGUAUGUAUGUGUGUGUAGGGAGGGGCUUAAGGCAUACAUUGUAAUAAUGACGUGGCUGAGACAGAGUGGUAGGAAAUAUAUGAGGCUGGUGCAGAGAGCAGGUGCAUAUGGGUAAUGAGCAGAGAAUGCAGACAGCACCCAGGUCAGGAUAAGGGGUGCUGCUGCUCUUAGUAGAGGCCCUGCCUUUUCCUGAGACAGGAAAGAAAGGAUGGAUAUGGGCAGCUCUUAAGUAAGAAUUGAAAUGAUUUCUUUGAAUGGCUUUAAGCUUUUCUGAGAUGCAAAGGAAACGUUUCUAGAGAGGGUGCCAGAAGGUAGAGCCUGCCUGUGCCUGGAGGGGCAUGGGGUAAGCUGGAGAUGGCACUGUGGAGAAGGUAGGGAUGUCCGAAGCAACACAAUGAAGUGCUUGGGCAACUCAAAGAAAGUAGGCAGCAGGGGCCUUCCAGGGACAUGAGGAAGAGAGUGGGGGCUCUGGAAUGGUCAGAUUUUGAAGUGACAAGCUGAUGUGGCAAUAGGAAUGACUGUGCACUGUCUGACCUCCACUGGGCAACUCACCCACCACACUACGGGCAGUCAGCAUUCUUGCUCAGAAUAGCUCAUGGCUGCACCCAAGCUGGGCUUUCUCCCUUUCUGAGAGGGGGACAUGAUUCAUCUUAUAGUCCAAUUAGAGGUGUUGGGGGGCAGGUAUGACUCUCCAUCUAAUACUGAGUGACUCAGAAACCAAGGAAUCUGCAGAGCCAUCCCCCGACACCAAGGGCUUGUCUGAGAAGAAAGGAGUUAGCAUGUGGGUUGAGGAAGAAGAGAAGACUGGCAGAAACUAGGAGGUGUAUACCAUACUAUUGGGGUACAUUUGUAUCCAUAUUGUUGAAAGGAGUCUGCAUGUACAUGUUAUUAAUAGCUUAUCAUGAAUACACUAUAAAUGACUUGCUUGAUCUAACUCAGUGCCUAUUGGGGGAGUGCAUGGUGGACACUGGCAGAUCCUAACUAGACACAACAUUCCAAAGGAAUGCCUUAGCCCCAAUGUCCAGAGGUAGGUAAGUUCAGGGGGUAGUCAGGAUCAUGACACUGACAUCAUAAGUCUCAUGGACAUGGCUGACCACCCCAGUAGAGGGGCAAGAUGAACUUUAAUUGGAUACCUUUCUCUUCCCUGUAAAGCAUGCUGGCUGGAGGUGGGAUAGAAGGUGUUUGUUUCCUGAAGUGUUAACCUGCUGCCUUCUGCUGGCUCUCCGAACAAAGCAUAACUUACAUAUCCGUGUCUCUGCUCAAUGGUGUUUGCAAUGGCAGGCAGCAUGAGCUCUGGAGUCUGGUCAUGCAUUUUGGUGACUCCAUUAGAAUGGCUUAAGAACUCUGCAGUCAGUCACUGAGUUAAUGAGUAGUUCUAGGAUGCUGAGCUGUCCUGCCCCCUUUAAUUUCACUCUCCCUUGCGGGGCUCCUAACAUUCUCUCAUGCUUUCACUUAGCCAAUUCAAUCAAUGCCCCUUCUGGGUUUGCUCCUGGGUUUUAGCUCAUCUAGCCUCUGUCCUGAAAGUGAUUUCGGUGAUUUCUUCCCCCAUCUGGGGGACUUUCCCUGCCACCUCCUUCCAGCGAUAAAGCCUGUUUAGUCUAUAGGAUCCUGUCUGUUCAGUUCUGUCUGGCUUAUUUCAGUGGUCUGACUCAGGGUAGUGACCAUUCCUGGUGACAGCGUCUUGGAAAGUGUUCUGGAAACUGUGGUCUGACUGUGGUUAGAACCAUUGAAAAAGAAGAAAAUGUUGUACUAUCAUGAUACAGUUUAGUUACUCUACAUACUGGCUUCUUGAGGGAAAUAGCCAUUAAAUGGAUCUCAAACUUACUGUUUUGCCAAGGACUGAAAUAAGAAAAGGUGUUACCCUAAGUGUUCCUGUCAAACCCUGUCUUUGAUUUGCUUUCACUUAAGGAAGUUCUGAGAUGUGAGCUUCCUACCUCCUGUUGACUAAGAGUUCACUCUGAAUUAAUGUUACUGGUUUUUAUGUGUCAUUUUGUGUUUAAAACAGCAUGGGACAAAGUUUGAUGGAACUUCUGAAAAUAACAGAAGAGCAAAUGUGUGGCUGGUUCAGGGAUACAAAUAGAUAUAUACUGUUCAUGGUUAUAAUUGACUUUUCUAAUUUAUCAGAAAAAUAAAUACAAAUUUAUAUGGGAUUUGUAAAAUAAAUCCUAUAGUGCUUCUAAGGUUUAUGUAUGAUUAUGCUGCUAAUAACCAAAAUAUUAUGUAAGUGUUUUAUGCUUUGCUUUCAAAGAAUUAGAUUUGUUUGUUUGGUUGGUUUUGGUUUUGGUUUUUCAAGACAGGAUUUCUCUGUAUAGCCUUCAAUGUGCGUCCUGGAACUCACCCUGUAGACCAGGCUGGCCUUGAACUCACAUAGAUCUACCUGCCUCUGCCUCCCUAAUGCUGGGGUUAAAGGUGUGCACCAUUACUGCCUGGCUGCAAUUAGAUGUUCUUAAAUAUCAACCUACUUUUAAUAAAAUUUGAAAAGGUC
Cricetulus griseus (Chinese hamster) is the source of this 3922-nucleotide non-coding RNA. The record is from RefSeq and is a predicted model, not a curated record. Lineage: Eukaryota; Metazoa; Chordata; Mammalia; Rodentia; Cricetidae.